This 56-nucleotide transfer RNA is filed under the name Fukomys damarensis (Damara mole-rat). It matches the Rfam family "tRNA", at positions 9 to 63 of the family's 71-position model. From Rfam's summary of the family: Transfer RNA (tRNA) molecules are approximately 80 nucleotides in length. Lineage: Eukaryota; Metazoa; Chordata; Mammalia; Rodentia; Bathyergidae. The record is from Rfam by way of RNAcentral.
AGCUUAAUGGUAGAGCACUUGCUUUCCAUGUACAAGGCCCUGGGUUCAAUUCCCAG